Molecule: ribosomal RNA, 253 nt
Filed under: uncultured bacterium
Lineage: Bacteria
Description: partial 16S ribosomal RNA
Rfam family: Bacterial small subunit ribosomal RNA
Source: RNAcentral
UACGUAGGGGGCAAGCGUUGUCCGGAUUCAUUGGGCGUAAAGAGCGUGUAGGCGGCCAGGUAGGUCGGCUGUGAAAACUCGAGGCUCAACCUCGAGAUGUCGGCCGAAACCAUCUGGCUAGAGUCCGGAAAAGGAGAAUGGAAUUCCCGGUGUAGCGGUGAAGUGCGCAGAUAUCGGGAGGAACACCCGUGGCGAAGGCGGCUCUCUGGGACGGUACUGACGCUGAGACGCGAAAGCGUGGGGAGCGAACAGG